RNAcentral lists this ribosomal RNA (115 nucleotides) under Escherichia coli. The record is from RNAcentral. Lineage: Bacteria; Pseudomonadati; Pseudomonadota; Gammaproteobacteria; Enterobacterales; Enterobacteriaceae.
CCUGGCAGCGUAGCGCGGUGGUCCCACCUGACCCCAUGCCGAACUCAGAAGUGAAACGCCGUAGCGCCGAUGGUAGUGUGGGGUCUCCCCAUGCGAGAGUAGGGAACUGCCAGGC